GUCCAAAGCCCUGGUGAAGGACUGAUGAAUUCUCCAGGAAUUGCUCUUCUCCUACUCUGCACGUGGGGAUUCCCCGACUCCUUCCCACCCAGGGUCUCCCCUCCUCAUCAGAUACAGACACUUGGGCCAAGAUCUGAAGCCAAGAGUUGGCCUCUGGGCUCAGCACCUGGAGAGCAAACAGAUACACCCAAUGUGGCCCCAAGAAAGGCAGAGACAAGCACCGCGGGAGCCUGAGGCCACGUCUCCCUGCAGGGCCAGGGGGCAAGCCCCAUCCCAGGAGUGGAAGAGAGGAGGGGGCCGGGAGGCCCUGGUGGAUGCGACGCAGAAGCAGGCCACGACCGACCGUGCUGCUGCCCUUUGCUGUGGUCCCGCUUUCCUCCGGGAUGUCCCGAGUGGCUUCACUGGAAGUCAUCCUCCUGGAGGACCUGGAGGAGGGAAGCACUGGGCCUCAGGACCUCCAAGCCAAUCAUCUGAGCCUGGGGCUCUCAGGGCUGAGAAAAGACCGGGGUUUUGGGUGUGUGUGCAUGUGUGCCUGUGUGUGUGUGUGUGCCUCUGUGUGUGUGUGCCUCCGUGUGUGUGUAGGCGUGUGUGCCUCCGUGUGUAUCUGUGUGUGUGUGUCUGCAGACCUCAGAGAGGGAGGCUUCACCCUGCGGCCGGAGGAGGUGGUGAACUCAGGGUGCGUCCCCGCCGAGCCUCUCGUGUCCUGCCGCCGCCGCGCGAGGGGCCUGCCUCGGCUACUCCCAGGCGCACAGGGGCCUGAGCCGGCGGGCGCCGAGAACCUGGGCCCAGGGACGGCCUGGACCCCACCGACACUGGCCCAGGAGCGCAGCCUCAGUCUCACUGCCGGGUCGGUUCUGCCCAAGGUCACCGCGCGCCGCUCGGAUUCCCCGCCUCCCGCGCCCCCCGCCUCGUCUCCGAGUCG
Long non-coding RNA from Bos taurus (domestic cattle), 922 nucleotides. NCBI's taxonomy places the organism in Eukaryota, Metazoa, Chordata, Mammalia, Artiodactyla, Bovidae. The record is from Ensembl.